UACGGAGGGUCCAAGCGUUAUCCGGAAUCAUUGGGUUUAAAGGGUCCGCAGGCGGUCAAUUAAGUCAGAGGUGAAAUCCCGCAGCUUAACUGUGGAACUGCCUUUGAUACUGGUUGACUUGAGUUAUAUGGAAGUAGAUAGAAUGUGUAGUGUAGCGGUGAAAUGCAUAGAUAUUACACAGAAUACCGAUUGCGAAGGCAGUCUACUACGUAUAUACUGACGCUCAUGGACGAAAGCGUGGGUAGCGAAAGGG
This 253-nucleotide ribosomal RNA is filed under the name uncultured bacterium. Its description in RNAcentral is "partial 16S ribosomal RNA". It matches the Rfam family "Bacterial small subunit ribosomal RNA", at positions 524 to 776 of the family's 1533-position model. The record is from RNAcentral.